GCAUAUCAAUAAGUGGAGGAAAAGAAACCAACCGGGAUUCCCUUAGUAACGGCGAAGUGAAGCGGGAAAAGCUUCAAAUUUGAAAGCUGGCUUGUCCUUGUGGCAGUCCGCAUUGUAAUUUGAAGAUAUUGCCUUAGGAUUAUCCUCCUGUCUAAGUCCCCUGGAAAGGGGCGCCAUUGAAGGUGACAGCCCUGUAAGAUGGGAGAGAUUUUUCCAUUGUAAGGCCUUAUCGAAGAGUCGCGUAGUUUGGGAAUGCUGCGCUAAGUGGGAGGUAAAUUCCUUCUAAAGCUAAAUAUUGGACAGAGACCGAUAGCAAACAAGUACAGUGAUGGAAAGAUGAAAAGCACUUUGAAAAGAGAGUGAAAUAGUACGUGAAAUUGCUGAAAGGGAAGGGUAUAUCGUGAGUUAUGGUGUGUGACUGUUUAUGGUUUCCCUUGUGGAUCCUGGACUCAGUCUUCGCCGUGCCAGGGAGAAUUUUGGCGGUGGGAUAAUUGCCUGGGAAUGUGGCUUUCACCUUAUGGUGAGAGUGUUAUAGCCUUGUGUGGAUACCACCUGCUGGGAUUGAGGACUGCGACUUUAUUGUCAAGGACUCUGGCUUAAUUGCGACAUACCGCCCGUCUUGAAACACGGACCAAGGAGUCUAACACCUAUGCAAGUCUUUGGGUGUGAAACCCCUUAAGGCGAAAUGAAAGUGAACGUAGAUUUGAUCCCCCUUAGGGGCGCAAAAUCGACCGAGCCUGAUGUUUACUGACGGCUUUGAGUAAGAGCAUAGUUGUUGGGGACCCGAAAGAUGGUGAACUAUGCCCGAGUAGGGUGAAGCCAGAGGAAACUCUGGUGGAAGCUCGUAGCGGUUCUGACGUGCAAAUCGAUCGUCAAACUUGGGUAUAGGGGGCGAAAGACUAAUCGAACCAUCUAGUAGCUGGUUCUGCGA
RNAcentral lists this ribosomal RNA (931 nucleotides) under Ascoidea corymbosa. Its description in RNAcentral is "LSU rRNA". It matches the Rfam family "Eukaryotic large subunit ribosomal RNA", at positions 38 to 964 of the family's 3401-position model. The record is from RNAcentral. Lineage: Eukaryota; Fungi; Ascomycota; Saccharomycetes; Ascoideales; Ascoideaceae.